Molecule: long non-coding RNA, 1097 nt
Filed under: Oryctolagus cuniculus (rabbit)
Lineage: Eukaryota; Metazoa; Chordata; Mammalia; Lagomorpha; Leporidae
Description: lncRNA (ENSOCUG00000036099.1)
Source: RNAcentral
AUGAUCCUCUGUAUUUCAGUGGUAGCAGUUGUAACAUCUCCAUUUUCAUCUGUCAUUUUAAUUUAUUUGAACUUUUUCUUUUUUUUAAUAGUCUGGCCAGAGGUUAUCUAUUUUGUUUAUCCUUUCAAAAAACCAACUUUUUGUUUUGUUGAUCUCUUGAUCGUAGCUCUGGGGCUCGUAUCCAGAAACUCCCACAGUUGCAGGAUACUGGGGAUCUGUCCUUCGCCGCACACAUUGGCCCUGACCGUGUCUGGUGCUGGUAGGAAAACAGGCGCACUGGGUGAAUUUUCACUGCCUCGUCUGGCACUCUGGGAGAAGAAGGAAACAGGUGCUUCCCUGCUGCAAGCCCAGCAGUCACUCAGACCCCAGUCAGCUCUCCAGGCUGAAGUGAAAUCAUACAAGCUGUCCAGCUCCAGAUGGUCAUGAAACAGGACUUGCAGUCUAUCUUCAGAUGAUAUGACCAGUCCUCUGGACCAUGCAAGACUAUUUCUCAGGCCGCCUUGGAACACCAUAAGACAGACAGCAAGAGACAAACCCCACAACCAGCUCUAUGCCCAUAUGUCAGUUCUGAAGAGAAUGCAGAAGCUGGACCUUCAUCCAUGUUACCCCCAUAAGAGUAUGGGUUACUUCUCUUGAGGGAAAAUUGUUAAGUAGCUACAUAGACAUAGGCCUAUGUGUGAGGGGCUGAAGAAAAUGACAAUUUCUGUGUGAUGGAACAAGAAAGUAGGACUUGGAAGCAAACUCGCAUUUACAUAUCAAAAGUCUUGCCAUGGGGCCAUCGCUGUGGCACAGCAGGUUAAAGGCCCAGCCCACAGCACCAGUAUGGGUGCUGGUUUGAGCCCUGACUGCUGCACUUCCAAUCCAGCUUCCUGCUAAUAUGCCUGGGAAAGCAGUGGAGGAUGGCCCAAGUGCUUGGGCACCCAUGUUGGAGACCCAGAGGAGGCUCCUGGCUUCAGAUCAGCUGAGCUUGCAGCCAUUUGGGGAGUGAACCAGCAGAUGGAAGACUCUCUCUCUCUCUCUCUCUCUCUCUCUCUACCUCUCUACCUCUCUCUUAACUCUCAAAUAAAUAAAAUAAAAAUAAAUCUUAAAAAAAAAAA